Molecule: ribosomal RNA, 492 nt
Filed under: uncultured bacterium
Lineage: Bacteria
Description: partial 16S ribosomal RNA
Rfam family: Bacterial small subunit ribosomal RNA
Source: RNAcentral
AUUGAACGCUGGCGGCAUGCUUUACACAUGCAAGUCGAACGGCAGCGCGCGCUUGGGUGUUGCCGCGAGGGGCGCACGGGAGUGUAAUACAGGGGAACAUCCCGAGGAGGGGGGUAUAGCCGCGCGAAAUGCGGAUUAAUACCACAUACGACCAGGGUGUGAGAGGGGGGGAGCGAAAGGCCGUUUGCUAUUGGAGCGUUCGAUCGCCGGAUGUCGGAUUAGCUAGUUGGUGGGGUAAAGGCCUACCAAGGCGACGAUCCGUAGCUGGUCUGAGAGGACGACCAGCCACACUGGGACUGAGACACGGCCCAGACUCCUACGGGAGGCAGCAGUGGGGAAUUUUGGACAAUGGGGGCAAGCCUGAUCCAGCAAUGCCGCGUGCGGGAAGAAGGCCUUCGGGUUGUAAACCGCUUUUGUUAGGGACGAAACGCUCUGGGCUAAUACCGCGGGGGGAUGACGGUACCGGAAGAAUAAGCACCGGCUAACUACGUG